RNAcentral lists this ribosomal RNA (301 nucleotides) under uncultured bacterium. RNAcentral describes it as "partial 16S ribosomal RNA". It matches the Rfam family "Bacterial small subunit ribosomal RNA", at positions 509 to 807 of the family's 1533-position model. The record is from RNAcentral.
CAGUCGCCGCGGGAAUACGGAGGGAGCUAGCGUUGUUCGGAAUUACUGGGCGUAAAGCGCACGUAGGCGGCUUUGUAAGUUAGAGGUGAAAGCCUGGAGCUCAACUCCAGAAUUGCCUUUAAGACUGCAUCGCUUGAAUCCGGGAGAGGUGAGUGGAAUUCCGAGUGUAGAGGUGAAAUUCGUAGAUAUUCGGAAGAACACCAGUGGCAAAGGCGGCUCACUGGACCGGCAUUGACGCUGAGGUGCGAAAGCGUGGGGAGCAAACAGGAUUAGAUACCCGCGUAGUCCCUGUCUCUUAUAC